Molecule: non-coding RNA, 860 nt
Organism: Equus caballus (horse)
Lineage: Eukaryota; Metazoa; Chordata; Mammalia; Perissodactyla; Equidae
Source: RefSeq, a predicted model, not a curated record
GGACAACAGCCAGGGAAGAGGAAAUGGGAAUCGUGAGAACCAAACCAAGGGGCUUCUCUCCCAGGCUAAUAUUAUUAUGCCUCCCUUAUAUUAGUCGUGGGAGUGAUGAAAGCUGCGCUCCCGGCCUCAAAGUUCUCCUCAAGUCAAACCACUAAGCUCCUGCUGAUCCAGUUCCCACUGACUCAUGGGAGGACUGCCCUCAGAAAAGGAAACUCAAGCCCCCAGAACUUGGCACAAACUGAUAUGGUUUCUGGCUCCUUGACUGGACCCUGGCUGACACAGAAUGAAACACAAUCUUCGCAUCACAGUGAGAGGGACCCCAGAGAGGCCCAUGCCCCACUUCACUCCAGCAGGAGUCCAGACCUGUGACCUCGCACAACAGCUUUCUCAGUGGUGAGGGGUGUGGGGACUUCGUUCCAUUUCUUCCUGGGUUUGUAAAGAACAUUGUGGUCCCAGAUUUUUGUCUGAUUCCAGUUUUCUCAUUUUGAAACAGAGUGUGUGGUGGGUUCUGUGGGAUGUCGCCCUGGUCCCCGCUCCAGGACUGAGAGUCAAAGAAGGAAAGAGAAGUAACGUGUGUUUGAACCAGUUUCCCUUUCCAGCGAUUGUCACUCCACUCCAUCAUGCCUCCCCAGUGUUCUGAUACCAUUGGACAGAAAGUCAACCUACCUACAGCUAGAAUCUCUGGAGGAGAGCUGCUUCGUUGGCUGCUGUAUCCACCAGGACCUAACCUGAGCAGUGCCGAGCGUGGUGGAAUGACGUGCAGACUACUGUACAUACCAGAAGGGUCACUCAUCCACUGUUUAUCAUGAGCAAAACUGGAAACAAUCUAAUUCUCUAACAAAUAAAUUAUGACAUGUGUG